RNAcentral lists this small nuclear RNA (29 nucleotides) under Arabidopsis thaliana (thale cress). Its description in RNAcentral is "snRNA_08297". The record is from RNAcentral. Lineage: Eukaryota; Viridiplantae; Streptophyta; Magnoliopsida; Brassicales; Brassicaceae.
UUGGGACCCACAGUAAAGUGGGAACCCUC